RNAcentral lists this ribosomal RNA (403 nucleotides) under Fusobacteriota bacterium. Its description in RNAcentral is "Fusobacteria bacterium partial 16S ribosomal RNA". It matches the Rfam family "Bacterial small subunit ribosomal RNA", at positions 355 to 776 of the family's 1533-position model. Lineage: Bacteria; Fusobacteriati; Fusobacteriota. The record is from RNAcentral.
UGGGGAAUUUUGCACAAUGGAGGAAACUCUGAUGCAGCGACGCCGCGUGAGUGAUGAAGAUCUUCGGAUUGUAAAACUCUGUCCUUAGUGAAGAUAAUGACAGUAACUAAGAAGCAAGCCCUGGCUAAAUACGUGCCAGCAGUCGCGGUAAUACGUAUGGGGCAAGCGUUGUCCGGAAUUAUUGGGCGUAAAGGGUACGUAGGCGGUUUAAUAAGUCCUAAUUAAAAGGCUAUGGCUCAACCAUAGUAUGGUUAGGAAACUGUUGAACUUGAGUAGAUGAGGGGAAAGUGGAAUUCCAUGUGUAGCGGUGAAAUGCGUAGAUAUAUGGAGGAACACCAAUGGCGAAGGCAACUUUCUGGAAUCAAACUGACGCUGAGGUACGAAGGCGUGGGGAGCAAACAGG